RNAcentral lists this long non-coding RNA (318 nucleotides) under Androctonus crassicauda. The record is from RNAcentral. Lineage: Eukaryota; Metazoa; Arthropoda; Arachnida; Scorpiones; Buthidae.
GCCCUGGCCGCCUGGACCGACAUUGACAAACUAGAGUUUUGUCGGGAGAGGUUUACUCCUCGACCAUUCGCAAUUUUCUUAUCGGGACCAAAUGCGUCCCCUAUGCCCAAAUUCAAACCGAGUGAGCUGUCUUCCUUUCUCCGAACAGCCAUAACGUCCCACCCGCGUUUAACCGACGUACGGUACACCAAGGCGGGUUUACUUCUUCUAAAAACUGACAAUAGUGAUUGUGCGAAGGAAAUCCUUCAACUACAGACAUUAGGUUCAACGCAGGUGACGGGCCGCCUGGCAGCAGACUGUGUGCAAACCGAGUUUCUG